Molecule: long non-coding RNA, 1548 nt
Organism: Papaver somniferum (opium poppy)
Lineage: Eukaryota; Viridiplantae; Streptophyta; Magnoliopsida; Ranunculales; Papaveraceae
Exons: 7
Source: RefSeq, a predicted model, not a curated record
CUCACACCAUUUAGUUUUUCAUCAGAAAGAAAACGCCUCUUCAAACUCUUCUUCUUCUUCUUCUUCCAUUUCUUCGACUUGACAUGAUAAUCUUGGAGGGGAGUCUUUGAUUUAGGUGAGAAACUCUCGGAAUGGUUCCAUGUGUUUCUUUUACACUCAAGCCUCUGUUAGAAGCUGCAAGGCUUAUAAGAUGAUUGUUCCGAGUAUGAUGGUCGUUAUGUAAGUUGUUACUAAUGCUAUCGAGAUUAUUCCGUAUGAGAUAGAAGCUUCAGUGAAGAGAUAAAUCUAUGGCUGUAGUAGUGCAUCGGUUUCUCCUUACCCCUCUGGGUUCACCUAAUUUUCAUUCAGUAUUGCAAACCGUUUCAGUAUUCCAAAGUCAGAUAGGGUCUCAGGGUAAACCUAAUUAGUAUUGCAAACCAUUUCUCUUCUUUAGUGGUCUUCAGUAUUCCAAAGUCAAAUACAAUCUCAGAGUAAGAAAACCAAAAGGAAGAUUAUCCUUCUGUUUCAUUUUCUUAUCAUAUAAUGUUAGAGAAUAACCAUCGUGAGAUUCAAAGUACCCCUUCCAAGAGGGAGUAUGGUACGCAAAUAAGGAUUUCAAGUCGGAGAAACAUCCAGAUAUUACCAAAUUUGAACAUGGGAUUCAAGUAAUUUUUGGUUUUUAGACGCAAAAGUUUCGAGUAAGGAAGUUACUGUUUUUGGUGGUUUCAGUUUCGAGCUUACGAGGAAUGGAACUGGUUUGAGUGGAAAGUCGAAUGAGAUAAAGCUAUAUGCCGUUCAUUUUAUGGAGGAACCUUGAAGGGACACUGCUAAUUUUAUCCAGACUGAGUAAUUCGAAUUGAAGGUACAGGUUUCUGAUUUUGCAAAUACAUGAUAAGGAAAUUAUGACGACAGAACGAUAUCGGGAGAAAAUAUAGUUUCUCUAUGACUGGAGCGGUUUCUAGGAGGUAAAUGGAACCAUCGAUCAUCAGGGCAGGAUGUGGUGGGGGUUAUGGUAGAACAUAACACUGGACUUUGGAACACACAAGAGGCCAAAUAGUUGAAUUAAGGAACUUUCAUAACAUCCUAACUCCAACCUCACUUUCCACACCUUUCCAUUAAGGACCAUCCAUCUGUUUACUACAGGUUGAUUUUGACACCUCUCUGAUGACCGUGGAGGGCUGCAACUCUAUGCCCAUGACUGCAUAGCAAAGGGGGUAGUCCAGUAUAGCUUUGGUGCAGAUACAUUUGCAUACCCUGCACCGAUUUCAUUAAGAAUAGACACAUUUUGAUAUCCGUAUUGAGACUGGCAAAAUUCCAAGGACCAGCAUGUCUUUGGUGCAAGGAAACCAUUGAGUUAUGGAUGUUUGCUUGAUAAUAAAUGUUGGUGAUGGAGGGAGUAGAAAGUACAACACCUCAAAUUAUAUUUCACUUCUUGACCAUUCUUGGAUAUUAUUUUCCUAUUAGGAUUUUUCUUUCUGAUUUUAUGUUCAUGUUAGGAUAUCAAUUUUGUUGUGCAAAUAUGAUCUCAGUGGAUUUUGCAGCAUUGGUUGGAGUAAAUUAUUGAGCUUA